Molecule: long non-coding RNA, 1662 nt
Organism: Prionailurus viverrinus (fishing cat)
Lineage: Eukaryota; Metazoa; Chordata; Mammalia; Carnivora; Felidae
Exons: 2
Source: RefSeq, a predicted model, not a curated record
CCAGGCUGCAGGCCUGUGAGGCUCCUCACUGCUGCAGGUAUGUGCUUAGCAGUAUUCUACUGAAUAUUCAAGAGAGACUGUCAGCAGAUCUCUGUGGUUCUCAUAUGCAGUUCUUCCCUCUCUCUGAUAGUCUAUCCUAUCAGUUCAAGCUGCCUUUUCCCCUGGAGUCUCAGCUUCAUUUUCUCAACUCAGCUAGUUUGCCAUGUUCUGCCUCAGUUUCAGUUUUCUGAGCUGUGGUCUGUAAACUCUCUCAAAGCAGUAUCCUAAGAAUUACCUCAUUUGCUACUCAUCUUUCAAGGAUCACAGUCUGUUGUGGAUGAAAUAUUUGUUUUCCCCAAAACUCAUAUAUUGAAACCCUACCAACAACCCUCUCGAAUGUGAUGGUAUUAGAAGAUGGGGACUUUGGGAGUUAACCAUUAUUGGAAGAAGGCAUGUAGGUAAGUCCUCAUGAAUGUGAUUUGUGUCCUUAAAAGAGCUAAGACUGAGCUUGCUUCUUUUCUCCAAUCUCUUCAAUAUGAAGAUAGAAUGAGAAGUCAAUAGUCUGUAACUCAGAAGAUGGUGCUUACUAGAAUCUGACCUGCUGGAAUCCUGAUAUUGGACUUCCAGCCUCCAGAACUAUGAAAAAUACAUUUUUGUUGUUUAUAAGCCACCGAUUUUAUGGUAUUUUGUUAUAAACAGCCUGUGCUGACUAAAAUAUUGUUCUUCAUUGCCUGACUCCAGUGUCUUGAAAAGUGUUGUUUCAUGUGUUCUUGUCUGAUUGUUAUUAUUGUUCCUUGAAAUCGCAGGACAAAUCCAGUCCUUGUUACUCUGUCUUGUCCAGAAGUGGCUUUCCAAAGGUUUUCGAUUAUUUUUGCAGGUUUGGCAUAACAUGACACAUAUAUUCCUAAAAAUCACGACACUAUGUAAUAUUAUGCAAUAAAAAUCCAUUAUGCUCAUGGGAAAAUGAGGUUAGGACCACAACACCAAAAACUUCUGAGAUAUUAAACAAAAAGAUAGGGAACCAAAUAAAAAUGGAAGUACAGUUUUUAACAUGUUAAAUGGUUAAUAAAUAUAUAAAUACUGUAAUACACAUGGCACUUUGUUUUGUAAAAGACCUGAGAUUGAUUGUGGGAGUGCAUGUUCAUUCUCCUGCAAGCCUGACCACCUCCUGCCCCCAAUGUGCUGCAUAGGUGAGGAAGAGAACAAAAGAGAUUUUUUUUUCCAGGAGAGAUUUUUAUAAAAAAAAGAAAUUGGAGAUAAAGAGAGAGAAAUAAUGGAGUAAUGGGGAAUAUAGAUAAAAAAGUACAAAUUGGCUGACAGGAAAGAGGAGAAAACUAAAAAGAGAAGGUGUGGGGAUUGAGCAGUCAAGAUAGACAUCUGAAAAUCUGCAAUUUGUGAAGUAUUGUGAAGUCUGGAAAGAGGGUUAUCUGAUGUAAGAUGGACAGUUGUAAUAACAGAUGUGGAUGUGCGUGAAUCAUUUCUCUUGAGGUAUGUGAGAGCAUGUGUUUUAUGUCUUACACCUCUUAGUUCAGCUGGGUACAGUCUUAUACUCACCUAGUGUUUGUUAGGUAUGAAACUGUGUUUAAGGAAAUACAAAAUACAUAUAAUGCUCAAAUUCUUCCAUAGUGUGUGAAUUGUAUAGGAAUAAAUCAUGUGUUCAGAAUAAACAUUAUAGAAAAAUAA